AGAACGAACGCUGGCGGCGUGGAUAAGACAUGCAAGUCGAACGCUGACUUUCAGGUAGCAAUAUUUGGAAGUCGGAGUGGCGCAAGGGUGUGUAACACGUGGGUAAUCUGCCGUGAAGACUGGGAUAACUCGCUGAAAGGCGAGUUAAUACCGGAUGUGAAUGUAAAUUCAAAGUUGGGGACCGCAAGGCCUGACGCUUUACGAUAAGCCCGCGGCCUAUCAGCUAGUUGGUGAGGUAACGGCUCACCAAGGCUAAGACGGGUAGC
Molecule: ribosomal RNA, 266 nt
Filed under: uncultured bacterium
Lineage: Bacteria
Description: partial small subunit ribosomal RNA
Rfam family: Bacterial small subunit ribosomal RNA
Source: RNAcentral